UUAAAUGUUUUCUUUAGAGGACGUGGGUGUACUAAGGGAAUGAGGUGAUUGAGGAUAAAUUAUAUAAUUGUAUUCACUAGUUGUCAUUUGACAACGAUCAUGAUUUUUUUUUCUUCUAAUUUUUUAGUUUCCACGUUAUGUUCAUGUGUUGUGAUUGUAUUUUUUUUUCUCUUUGCUUAUUUUUUCCAACAACUGAUAUCAAAGCUUUUG
Molecule: long non-coding RNA, 210 nt
Filed under: Lathyrus oleraceus (garden pea)
Lineage: Eukaryota; Viridiplantae; Streptophyta; Magnoliopsida; Fabales; Fabaceae
Description: Pisum sativum (pea) long non-coding RNA (PSAT_LNC022119)
Source: RNAcentral